GACGAACGCUGGCGGCGUGCCUAAUACAUGCAAGUCGAGCGAAGUUUUUCUUGUUCUUGCACCGUAAAAACUUAGCGUCGAACGUGUUAGUAACACGUAAAGAACCUUCCUUAUAGACUUGUACAACUAUUGGAAACGAUAUCUAAUACCGUAUAACAUCAUUAACUUCAUUGUUUAUGUUUUAAAGUUUGUUUUUCUAACACUAUGAUAUUGCUUUUCUGUGCAUUAGCUAGUUGGUUGGGUAAAGGCCUACCAAGGCGACGAUGCAUAGCCGACCUGAGAGGGUGAUCGGACAAACUGGGACUGAGACACGGACAAGACUCCUACGGGAGGAAGCAGUAGGGAAUAUUCCGCAAUGGGCGAAAGCCUGACGGAGCAACGCCGCGUGAGUGAAGAAGGAUUUCGGUUCGUAAAGAUCUGUUGUUAGGGAAGAAUGAUUGUGUAGUAAAAAUACACAGUAGAGACGGUACCUAAACAGAAAGCAACGGCUAACUACGUG
Molecule: ribosomal RNA, 499 nt
Filed under: uncultured bacterium
Lineage: Bacteria
Description: partial 16S ribosomal RNA
Rfam family: Bacterial small subunit ribosomal RNA
Source: RNAcentral